RNAcentral lists this ribosomal RNA (450 nucleotides) under uncultured bacterium. RNAcentral's name for it is "partial 16S ribosomal RNA". It matches the Rfam family "Bacterial small subunit ribosomal RNA", at positions 29 to 523 of the family's 1533-position model. The record is from RNAcentral.
AAUGAACGCUGGCGGCAUGCCUAACACAUGCAAGUCGAACGAAGGCUUCGGCCUUAGUGGCGCACGGGUGCGUAACGCGUGGGAAUCUGCCCUCAGGUUCGGAAUAACAGCGAGAAGUUGCUGCUAAUACCGGAUGAUAUCGCGAGAUCAAAGAUUUAUCGUCCUGAGGAUGAGCCCGCGUAGGAUCAGCUAGUUGGUGUGGUAAAGGCGCACCAAGGCGACGAUCCUUAGCUGGUCUGAGAGGAUGAUCAGCCACACGGGGACUGAGACACGGCCCAGAUUCCUCCGGGAGGGAGAAAUGGGGAAUAUUGGAAGAUGUGUGAAAGCCUGAUCCAGCAAUGCCGCGUGAGUGAUGAAGGCCGUAGGGUUGUAAAGCUCUUUUACCCGGGAUGAUAAUGACAGUACCGGGAGAAUAAGCUCCGGCUAACUCCGUGCCAGCCGCCGCCGUAA